RNAcentral lists this ribosomal RNA (501 nucleotides) under uncultured bacterium. RNAcentral describes it as "bacterial SSU rRNA". It matches the Rfam family "Bacterial small subunit ribosomal RNA", at positions 18 to 518 of the family's 1533-position model. The record is from RNAcentral.
UAUGGCUCAGGAUGAACGCUGGCGGCGUGCUUAACACAUGCAAGUCGAACGAGGUGUUUCGGAUGAAGUUUCGGAUGGAUUCUGUUACACUGAGUGGCGGACGGGUGAGUAACGCGUGGGGAACCUGCCCCAUUCCGGGGGAUACCAGUUGGAAACGACUGUUAAUACCGCAUAAGCGCACGGGAGCGCAUGAUCCUGUGUGAAAAAACUCCGGUGGAAUGGGAUGGCCCCGCGUCUGAUUAGGCCAGUUGGUGAGGUAACGGCCCACCAAAGCGACGAUCAGUAGCCGGCCUGAGAGGGCGACCGGCCACAUUGGGACUGAGACACGGCCCAAACUCCUACGGGAGGCAGCAGUGGGGAAUAUUGCACAAUGGAGGAAACUCUGAUGCAAGCGACGCCGCGUGAGUGAAGGAGUAUUUCGGUAUGUAAAGCUCUAUCGGCAGGGAAGAAGAUGACGGUACCUGCAGAAGAAGCCCCGGCUAACUACGUGCCAGCCGCCGC